This 440-nucleotide ribosomal RNA is filed under the name uncultured bacterium. Its description in RNAcentral is "partial 16S ribosomal RNA". It matches the Rfam family "Bacterial small subunit ribosomal RNA", at positions 338 to 795 of the family's 1533-position model. The record is from RNAcentral.
CCUACGGGAGACUGCAGUGGGGAAUAUUGCACAAUGGGGGAAACCCUGAUGCAGCGACGCCGCGUGAGUGAAGAAGUAUCUCGGUACGUAAAGCUCUAUCGGCAGGAAAGAAAAUGACGGUACCUGACUAAGAAGCCCCGGCUAACUACGUGCCAGCAGCCGCGGUAAUACGUAGGGGGCAAGCGUUAUCCGGAUUUACUGGGUGUAAAGGGAGCGUAGACGGCGCUGCAAGUCCGGAGUGAAAGCCCAUGGCUUAACCAUGGUACUGCUCUGGAAACUGUAGAGCUUGAGUGCGGGAGGGGCAGGCGGAAUUCCUAGUGUAGCGGUGAAAUGCGUAGAUAUUAGGAGGAACACCGGCGGCGAAGGCGGCCUGCUGGACCGUAACUGACGUUGAGGCUCGAAAGCGUGGGGAGCAAACAGGAUUAGAUACCCCAGUAGUC